Zingiber officinale is the source of this 1987-nucleotide long non-coding RNA. RefSeq lists it as uncharacterized. NCBI's taxonomy places the organism in Eukaryota, Viridiplantae, Streptophyta, Magnoliopsida, Zingiberales, Zingiberaceae. The transcript has 3 exons. The record is from RefSeq and is a predicted model, not a curated record.
UUUUUGAACUGUGAAGUACAGUUGUUGUAAGAUUCCUUUGGUUGGUCAUUUCUGUCCAUAAAUAUUGAAAGUCUGCUUACUUUUUUCGGAGUUGUCAUAGAUCUUAAAUUUAUUUGACAUGAUGAACCAGCAAUGUAUUGUCUUUCAUUGUCUCACUGAUAUACUACUGUGGCACUGUGAACUAGUUCCAUAAAUGGUUUCAUAAAUCAGUCACUGCUAGUUUUGUUGGUGCAAUCAACUUCUAGGAUUUCAAUGUUUAACAAUCUACGUGUGUCUAGUCAAGUUUGACCGAGGAAUAAUCUAAACAAGACCAGAUGUUCAGAAGUGACUUAAGUGAGAAGUCUAGUGACUAGUAAGGGAAAGCCCAGGUCAAGGAUGACAGAAUGUCUGACAAAUGACAAGUCCAAGCAGAUCAAGGUGGCCGGAUGCUUGGUAAGGAAAAGUCCAGGUAGGUAAGGAUGACCGAAUGUCUGGCAAGUAAUAAGUCUAAGUAGGUCAAGAUGACUAAAUGCUUGGCAAAGGGAAAAUCCUAAGGGAGUGAACCUUAGGUGAUGAGAAGUCUGAGAGAAAUGAAUUCCAAGUAAGAGAUAAGCUUAGUAGGUCAGGUAGGCUUAUAGGAUGAGAUUUAAGUAAGCCUAGUAGGUCGGGUAGAUUUACAUGUUUGUGUUUUGUAUAACUGUUUUGCAGAAACCUGGAGCUAGAAGCAAAACAACGAACAAACAAACGCAAUCGGGUUGAACCGGACCCAAACCAAUUCGGUUGAUCGAUCCACCGUUUUGGUAGACCAAUUGGGUUCAGUUGACCGAUUUGGGACUGAACUUGGGUUGGUGAUGUGGCCUGGUUCAGUUGAUCGGAAAAAUUUCCAGUUGACCGAUGACAACGAUGAGAUCACAUGGUUUGGUCCAGAUUGUGAUGAACUUGAUUGUGGAGAUUAGGUUUGACCAAGUCUAGUCGACUGAAUGAGGCUUAUCAGUCUACCAAUAAAGGCCUAUAAAAGAACUUCAAGGACUUCCAGACCAAAUUGGCAAAAUCUGUUUGUAUCUAUUUAAUAUAUGCUUUACUUUCCUGUUUGUGAUUGUGAUACAAACAUUGUAAGAGGUUUAUCCAUCUCCGGAAAAGUUCCGGCCUUCGCCUUGGCCUAGGGCUUAGGAACCAAGUAAACCUCAUUGUCUUUCUGUUUGUUAUUGUUUAAUUCCACUGUAAGUAUUUGCCUUAUAGAUACAAACUCAUGACGAGAUGAUCGAUUAUGACCUUGUCUACUUGUAGUCACGAAGGAAAACUAUGUACCUUUGAUUGUUUAUAUUUUGUGGAUUUUAGAUUUAUAACUGGGUAACUCAUGUUCUCAUAUCACAAAAAUUAUGUCCUCUGAAGUUCUUCUAGGAUGGUCCUUCUAAAAGGAGCUGACAAGCAUGGUUUUGUGUGGUAUACCAAUUAUGGGAGCUGAAACGCCCAUGAAUUAUCUGAAAAUCCUCGUGCUUCACUUCUUUUCUAUUGGAAUCAGCUUAACCAUCAGGGUCAGCCUUCUCGAUUCAUGAUCAGUAGGUUCGUCUUCAAAUAGGGACGGACCUUAAAAUAUUUUCGCAAAUGUGAUUGCUUUGAAGUUUUCUUGGCCUUUUGUUGUAUUUUACAGGCUUCAGUAUUGGCUUGGGACAGUAAACGGAAAUGAAGUGUGGCAUAUUGAAAGGUUAUUCUCCAUGACUAGAGGUUGUUCGAUUGCCCUCCCUCUAAUAUCAAAAGAAUCAGUCUGUUGUGUCAAGAAAAAGAAAGAUCACCGACCAUAAUUCAGUGUUGAUCAAAUAGGACAUAAUUCCAUCACGUAGAGAUGGUAAACGAAACUGCCCCUUAAAAAAUGUGGUCCUGUUUAUCAAAUGGCUUAUACUUGUUUCUACUAAUUACAUUGCGUUGCCAAUGAUGUAAGAUACCAUCAAUUUGCCAGUGAUUCUGCUUUUAUGGGCACGAAUUCUCUAAUGCGAGAUUUGUUUGUUAA